Molecule: long non-coding RNA, 1221 nt
Organism: Micropterus salmoides (largemouth bass)
Lineage: Eukaryota; Metazoa; Chordata; Actinopteri; Centrarchiformes; Centrarchidae
Exons: 3
Source: RefSeq, a predicted model, not a curated record
GCAGAUGGCCGCCCACCCUGAGCCAUGGUUCUGCUCGAGGUGUCUGCCUCUUAAAAUUAAGUUUUUCCUUGCCUCUGUCGCCUAGUUCUUGCUCUUGGUAGGAAUUGUUGGAUUUCUGUAAAAAAAACAUCACAGAGUAUGGUCUAGACCUGCUAUUUUAUGAAAAGCGCUAUGAGAUAACUGUUGUUGUGAUUUUGUGCUAUAUAAAUAAAAUUGAAUUGAAAAUGGACUUGAAUUAGGUCAGAGGUCGCAAGCCACAUCAGGUGUCAUGAAUGUAUGCUAAUAAUAACUAAUUAUACUAAAGUAUCUGAUAACACCUCCUUACAAUGAUCUACAGUUAUACCUCUACAAUACCACAAAUACAAUUAACGCCAUUCAAGAUUAUUUUGAAUUGUGUGACUGCUCUUGAGCAUUGGCUGGAUUGUAUUGUUUGUCUGCCAGCAUGCCUGUUGGCAAGAGUUGUAUUACUCUCAUUUUUUGUUGACAGUUUAGAAAGACUUUGUGCCUUUGUGAGGAUGUUGCUGAGACCUAAUUUAAGGUCUGAGGAUACAAAUUCUGGCUGACUGUCACUCUCCCUCGCUGCCAUGGCUACCAGCCAUGCUGCUACAGGACACCCGGUCAGCUCGCUCAGACCUGACGAGCGAAGCGGUCAGACUGGUGGGUGAUAUCUGCAUGGCUUUUCAACGAUAGUGACUACUGAGGAACACUGAGGGGCUAACACAGCGUGGUGGCUUUAUUUCUGCUGGACAGGUCACCUGCAGAUUUGAAAUUUUUCAUAGCCCUGUACUUCUCACCAGUAUACGCUGAUUGGACCAUGCUGGUUGGCCUGGAUUACAACCACCAUGUCCACAGUCCAGCCAGGAGAAAAGCUGAUGACACAGUUCAGUACAGCAAGGUGUACAACAAAAAGUCCAGAAAGUGGAGCUUGACAUCGCAGACUGCCAUCCUCCUCCUCCUCCUCCGACGGUUGUCUACUACUGAGGAGAUGCCUAGAAGCAGAACCAGGAGACCUGAUUAUCCCCGUUAACAUGGGGUUCAGUCAGGUGUCCCUGCCCCAACUGCGUUUCUAGAUACAGCAAAAAUAUAAAUCAAAAAGUAAUAUGAUUGGUUUUGAAAUGUGGUAAUCAUGUAAUCAUCUCCACAGCAGCGAUAUGAUGCUACAUGCAAGUCUGAACCGUCUUCAUAAUCAGUCAGGACACCUCUGGACACACCUUGUCGAUU